GUUCAUUGCUGUUGAGAACGUGGAGGCUGAGCCCAAACUACGUUUGGUUUCCCUCUCCCACUAAGAUCACCUGAUAGAAGCUUCUGGCUUCUGUCUCCUGUUCCCAGCACCUGGGCGUGUGUUGGGUGAGGGCAAAGAGGGCUUCUGUGCCCCUACACUGGGACCCCUCCUAAGGCGUCUAAUGACAUUGGUGGCUGCCUUACUGAGUGUCUGUGAUGUGUGGCUGGACCUGCUCUUGUCGCAGCCCCUGAGGGCGCUGAGAUGAUUGCCUCCCUUUCUUGGAGGAGGGGAACGCGGAGCAGAGGGAUGCAGUCGCAAGCACUGGGGGCGUUAGGACUUGCACCUGGGAAUGGCUGGGUCAGGAGGAACCGAGGGGCUAUCCUGAUUCUGCACGCGGAGUGCAGAAGAAAACUGGGAAUCGGAAUGAGGAACAAACUGGCCACAAAGUGGGGGAACAACUGAAGGCUGGUGAGGGUGCAGAGCCCCCGUGGAGAGCCCAAGCGCUGACCAUUGUUUACAGGGUCCAGAGGUCCUUUUGAUUGCUGGACACAGCAUCAUGACCCUCGGAGAGAUGAAUGGCAGAACUCUGUUACUUCCAGCUUCUCUGAGAGGCGGUGGCCAGACAGGCCCACAUGGGGAUUGCAGCCGGGACAGGACCAACUGACAUUGUGAACAGGCUAUCCCCUCUGUUUCCCAGCGGAGGAGACUGAGGCACAGAAAGCUGAAAUGACUGAGGGGAAGACACAAAGGCAUCCGGGCCAGCCCUAGAAGUCUCGGGGUCAACUCUGAGUGUGAAGAAGUGCUCUGCAGCACCCUUGGGGAUCCCCAGUGAUGCCCUCCCCUCGCCACGCUGUGGAGGAAGCUGCGGAGUCCUUGGUCUCGGUGCUGCGGUCGGCUUGCUGUGUGUCGGGGCGGUCACAUGCCUCUCUGAGCUUUGGUUUCAUCAUCUGGGAAAGGAUGGCAUUAGUCUUAAUCACGGACGGCAAACCAGUGAUUCGUGAGCUCAAUGUGGUUUUUCGAAUCACCCGUUUUCCCCUUCCUUUCUUGUGGACGUUUCAAACUCGCGUGAAGCAGAGGGAUGAGUCCAGCGGAAGUUCACAGCUCAGCUUCUACGAUUAUGAACAUGCACCUGGUUUUGUUCCAACUAUUUCUACUCUCCACCCACGUUCCCCCUAGAUUAUAUCAGAGCCAAUUACAG
This 1198-nucleotide long non-coding RNA is filed under the name Equus caballus (horse). Its description in RNAcentral is "lncRNA (ENSECAG00000044343.1)". Lineage: Eukaryota; Metazoa; Chordata; Mammalia; Perissodactyla; Equidae. The record is from RNAcentral.